Molecule: long non-coding RNA, 1509 nt
Organism: Myotis brandtii (Brandt's bat)
Lineage: Eukaryota; Metazoa; Chordata; Mammalia; Chiroptera; Vespertilionidae
Exons: 13
Source: RefSeq, a predicted model, not a curated record
UAUUUGCACUGAAUAUAAAAUCCUAUGACAACUUUUCCUUGGAGGAAAUAAGUUUUUGAAUAAAUGUGAUUAUGCAGAUAGGUCGAUUAGAUAUGCCUCUUCUUAAUAUUUUACUACUUGUGUGAGUUUAUUCUUUUACAAAGUCACUACUAUCCCACAGGAAUGCAAGCCAUUAUUUUUAAGGAUGCGCUGGAGCCCCCACAAAAAGGGUUGAGGUUUAGCACUCGAGGCAAACUCUAGGAAAGGUGCCACAGGACUCAACUGAGAUGAGGAGACCUAACGUUCACUCUCAGAAUUAGGAAAAGUGCCCCAGUGGAGGAGGCCCCUGGAGCAGGGUCUUGCACUACCGUCGGCGCUGGAGGAGUGGGAGCUGGAAGAGGAGAAUCGGAACGCCGUGCGGUGGGCCACUCCGGUCCUCGAGUGGCUUCCGUCGGGGCGCCCGGACGCCAUCUCGGUCUUUCGAGGAUGGAAGUCAGUAACUGGUACGUGUGUAUGUUUUCGCGGGUGCUAAGUGGGUUCUUGGCUCAAGGCCUCCAGGUCAUGGCAACUAAAGUCGCCCUAAACGCGCUGACUUUUAUGGGCUAGUUGCAAGCCUUUGCAGGAACCGCAGGAUGAGGAUUGUAUAGGAUUGCGUGUUGGGUGCGGGCUCGACAUAAACUCAACACUCGGUUGUAGGGCUCAACUGCGGAAGUACCUCGGCUGGCGUGCCCUGCCUCUGAUGAAGCUUAUGUUGGUAGGGACAUCUGAGACUGUUGAUGAAUGCCAACAGCUCUGAUGGCGGCGCAUGCCGAGUCGCCGAGUGGGUCUUUGUAAAUGACCUCGGCCGGAGCCACUUCCUCCAGGGAGGCGGGUAUUGGGGUAGCCCACGUGGUUCUCUGAGUGGCUGCAUUCCACACUGCACCGUUAUUGCCGUCAGUGGUUCUUAAACUUAGCUGUACAGUGCUCGUUAUAAUAUGUCUAGUGCACCCAUUAUAGUAUGAAAUUGUGGGUGAUGUAAACCACUUGCAUAAUUUAGAACAAAAUGAACUAAAACUAAUAUUUUCCCUAGGAAUGAUGCUCGGCACGAGUGCAAUGUGGCAUCUGAUGGACAGUUCUGUGCCAAAGGAAUGAGAACCGCUGCUGGGGUCUUAAGGUGCAAGCAUCACUCUCUUGUCAUGGGCAGACAGGCACUAAAAAGGACUAACUGGAAGUUGGAAUGGUGGACUUAGUCUCCUGACAUGUCUGGAGUGGCUUGACUUACUUCUUCUGUUGGAUACACAUUUUUAUCCGUGGAUGGCAUGCUUGGGAUGCACGUUUUGGAGACAUUUAAAAUAAAGGUGUGAGAAGUUGGGUUGGCUACAAGUCCAGGAGAAAAGAGUUUUAGCAGAGGCAGACCUGAAACCGUGGAGAUUUCCAGGCAUUUAUGGUAGCGGUCAUGGCAGCUGGCUGACCUUUGAGAGGCAGCUGGAUGGAUACUCAUGGGAUAGAAGAUCAACUUUGAAUUUUAAUAAAUUUUUAUAAACCAUCUGA